This is a long non-coding RNA of Daphnia pulex (common water flea), 709 nucleotides long. RefSeq lists it as uncharacterized. The transcript has 5 exons. The record is from RefSeq and is a predicted model, not a curated record. Lineage: Eukaryota; Metazoa; Arthropoda; Branchiopoda; Diplostraca; Daphniidae.
AAAAAAGUUUCGCCACAACGCUACCUAGCGGUCAAAUAUAGAACUGCAUGCAAAAUUCCCUUUUCUUGCCCCAAAACGCGAAAUUUUCUUCGCUUAUUCGCUUAUUCGUCAGAACGUGAGAAGUUGUAACACACGUAACUUAUCAUUUCAUCUGAUGAGUCAACAAUCAACGUUAAGCCAUGUUAAGCUAGCUUCGAAAAUUACCAAUGAUUCAUAGUCAGAGUAAACGUGAAAGUCGUGCAACCUAACGUCAACUAUUUUGUUCAAACUCAUUGUAUUCUACUGAAUGUGUCAUCAAAAUGAUACAGGAUUAAUCUUAAUUAUCGGCUGUUUCUAUUGAACCUGCUAGAUCACCGACCCCAGCAUGGAACAAUCUCUCAUAGUGAAUCUUGGAUAACUGAUUUGUGGUUUCAUGUUUCUAAAUUAGCAUGACUGACUAUAUGAGAAAGUAAGUCCAAGAAAAGGACUUACAGAGUUACAGUCAACAAGAUUUCUUGUUUGCUAACCCGUUGGCUGCUACCCAUGAAACUCCCUAUUUUUCAACAACAAAAAAAGAGGUUAAAUAUUGUGAUCAUGCUAUCAUCAUUAUGUUGCCUAUAAGACCAAAUGUGGGGCAUAUGGUUAUCCCUCCAAAAUAAGGCAAUGACCACAAGUUCAACGCGGAUCAUCGCUUUGUCAUCGAACUUGACUCAUUCCAUCUUCUGGAUUG